CAUCCUCUGCUGUACCUAAAUAUAUCACACUUCAUCAAAACAUUGGCAAAGUCUAGUAAACCAAACUUCUGCUAAGAAAAUUAUUAGCAGAUGCACCCACAAUAAGCCAAAUUUAGUAACUACAUUAGCAGAUUGUAUCAUACAUCAGUGUGCAGUGAACUAAUGAUAAACCAUUCAUAUGAAAACACCUCAAAUAAUUCUGCUUUCUAGAAUAAUUCAGUGGUCUAUAGAACACUAAACUAUGAGCUUGCAGGGCACAGUACC
This 264-nucleotide long non-coding RNA is filed under the name Brachypodium distachyon (stiff brome). RNAcentral's name for it is "long non-coding RNA (BDIS_LNC004839)". The record is from RNAcentral. Lineage: Eukaryota; Viridiplantae; Streptophyta; Magnoliopsida; Poales; Poaceae.